GGAUUAGAUACCCUGGUAGUCCACGCCGUAAACGAUGAGGGCUAGUUGUCAGGCAGCAUGCUGUUUGGUGACGCAGCUAACGCAUUAAGCCCUCCGCCUGGGGAGUACGGUCGCAAGGUUAAAACUCAAAGGAAUUGACGGGGGCUCACACAAGCGGUGGAGCAUGUGGCUUAAUUCGAGGCAACGCGAAGAACCUUAUCCUGGAUUUGACAUGUAUGGAUUAGCGCUUGGAAACUUGCGUAACGCGGCUUGCCGUGGAACAUACACAGGUGCUGCAUGGCUGUCGCUCAGCUCGUGUUG
RNAcentral lists this ribosomal RNA (300 nucleotides) under uncultured bacterium. RNAcentral describes it as "bacterial SSU rRNA". It matches the Rfam family "Bacterial small subunit ribosomal RNA", at positions 775 to 1067 of the family's 1533-position model. The record is from RNAcentral.